GCAGUCGACGAUGAGCCCUUCGGGGUGGAUUAGUGGCGAACGGGUGAGUAACACGUGGGCAAUCUGCCCUUCACUCUGGGACAAGCCCUGGAAACGGGGUCUAAUACCGGAUACGACCUGCCGAGGCAUCUCGGCGGGUGGAAAGCUCCGGCGGUGAAGGAUGAGCCCGCGGCCUAUCAGCUUGUUGGUGGGGUAAUGGCCUACCAAGGCGACGACGGGUAGCCGGCCUGAGAGGGCGACCGGCCACACUGGGACUGAGACACGGCCCAGACUCCUACGGGAGGCAGCAGUGGGGAAUAUUGCACAAUGGGCGCAAGCCUGAUGCAGCGACGCCGCGUGAGGGAUGACGGCCUUCGGGUUGUAAACCUCUUUCAGCAGGGAAGAAGCGAAAGUGACGGUACCUGCAGAAGAAGCGCCGGCUAACUACGUGCCAGCAGCCGCGGUAAUACGUAGGGCGCAAGCGUUGUCCGGAAUUAUUGGGCGUAAAGAGCUCGUAGGCGGCUUGUCACGUCGGGUGUGAAAGCCCGGGGCUUAACCCCGGGUCUGCAUCCGAUACGGGCAGGCUAGAGUGUGGUAGGGGAGAUCGGAAUUCCUGGUGUAGCGGUGAAAUGCGCAGAUAUCAGGAGGAACACCGGUGGCGAAGGCGGAUCUCUGGGCCAUUACUGACGCUGAGGAGCGAAAGCGUGGGGAGCGAACAGGA
Molecule: ribosomal RNA, 700 nt
Filed under: Alphaproteobacteria bacterium
Lineage: Bacteria; Pseudomonadati; Pseudomonadota; Alphaproteobacteria
Description: bacterial SSU rRNA
Rfam family: Bacterial small subunit ribosomal RNA
Source: RNAcentral